UUAGCUUUAUUUGACCAAUGCUUAGGUACCAAACCCCACCCAUCUUGCUUCAAAUGAUUGAUAGGAAUGUAAAUAUAGACUAGUUUCUGAAUUCUGUGUCUGCAUAUCACUGGAUUUGAUUUGAUUGUAGGGUUGAACAAGGAGUCUGAGGCUUUUGCAGAAAAGCUUUUUGAUACUCUUGCUAGGCAGAGAGGUAUUCAGGGGGGUUCCAUUAACAAGAUCCAGUAGAAGGAAUUCUGGGAUCAUAUUUCUGACCAGAGCUUUGAUACUAGGCUCAAAACAUUCUUUGACAUGGUUGAUAAAGAUGCAGAUGGCAGAAUCACCGAGGAAGAAAUUAAAGAGGUACAAUACAAAAUAAUUAAUUCACCACUAACUGUUUGGCCAUAUUUUAUUUGGAAAAAAAUAGAUAGACAACCUGGAGAUGCUCUUGUUGCAUGGACCAGAGGAAACUACAAGAGGAAAAAAACAGAUACACAACCUUGGGAUGAAGUUCUUGUUGCAUGGGGAGGACAAGGAAGGUGUUUUGGCGCAGGUUUUAGUUGUUUUCUGGGGGUUUUCCCAUGCUAUUAAAAAAAAGAACACCUUCUGGACAUGAAGAAUCUGCACAAUAACAACUAGGUGGUGAUAUCAUCUGGUGCUUAGCAAAGCUUUCUACAUUGGUUGUAAAAGGACUGUUGUAGAACAUGUGACAAAUUACAUCAGUCGUAAAAUGACCGUCGUAGAACACAUGACAAACAAGGUUGCGCUUAAGCCAACAACAAUGAAGAAAGCAGUGCUUUCUACAUCAGUGUUGUUGUAGGCAUGACUUUGUUUGUGACGCGUUUCUAAGACGGUCCUUUUACGAUCGAUGUAGAAACAUCCACCCUCUACAACAACAUCAGAUUUAAAGACACGCGUCCACCGUCGUAAAAAUGCCAAUUCCAUCGAUGUAGAACGCUCUUUUUCUA
This is a long non-coding RNA of Glycine soja, 947 nucleotides long. RefSeq lists it as uncharacterized. The transcript is spliced from 4 exons. The record is from RefSeq and is a predicted model, not a curated record. NCBI's taxonomy places the organism in Eukaryota, Viridiplantae, Streptophyta, Magnoliopsida, Fabales, Fabaceae.